RNAcentral lists this unclassified non-coding RNA (284 nucleotides) under fungal sp. RNAcentral describes it as "partial internal transcribed spacer region". The stretch from base 1 to 46 matches the Rfam family "Eukaryotic small subunit ribosomal RNA", at positions 1786 to 1831 of the family's 1831-position model. The record is from RNAcentral. RNAcentral also lists the same sequence under 1 other name. Lineage: Eukaryota; Fungi.
AAGUCGUAACAAGGUUUCCGUAGGUGAACCUGCGGAAGGAUCAUUAACACAAUUUUACUGUGAUAAAUCCGUUGAAUUCUCGAAUUCAAUGGAAUCCACCCCAUUAUUGACGAACUUUUCUAGAUGUUAAAACAUAAAGCUAGUCUUUAGGUUUUAACAUUCUAAACCCUUUUCUAUACCCACACACAUUUAAACCCCUUUUACAACAUGUCUUAGACUGAAAUGAAAAUUUUCUAUCAAAAAAUUGAUAAAAACAACUUUUAACAACGGAUAUCUUGGCUCUC